AUGCUAUCAAAGGUUGAUGAACUGAUAAAUCCACAUACGGGACAAUGGGAUGAAGAACUAAUCCGGGACAUAUUCUCACCGGUUGAUGUUCAUAGGAUACUUCAGAUCCAGUUAAACCCCCACCUGGCGGAAGAUUUUGUAGCAUGGAACUACACACGAUCGGGUACAUUUUCCGUGCGAUCGGCCUACCACAAAGAAUUUGAGCAUCAAUACGGAUCGCGGUGCAGGCGAGGUGACGGGCAAGGUUCGGAAAAUAUCAACCCGGUGUGGAAGGAUAUGUGGAAUUUGAAAAUACCUGGGAAGAUAAAACAUUUUGGUUGGAAAGUCCUGCACGGUUCCCUACCUUGCUUCGGCGUAUUGGCAAAUUGCCAUAUCCCAUGCACUGGACAAUGCCCGGUUUGCUCAGUUGGAGUAGAGGAUAUACAACACUGUCUGUUUAACUGCUCGCGAGCAACAUCGGUCUGGGAACAGCUUGGCUUGGCGCAAAGCGUAAAAGAGGCAAUGGCUGAGGACAGAUCAGGUUCAAUCACAAUGGAAAUCAUGUCUAAACUUCAGGGUAAUGACCAUGAGCUACCAAGGGCAGAACUUGCACUAGUGGCGGCGUGGUACAUUUGGUGGCAGCGAAGGCUAAUCGCCAAAGGUAUAGAGGUCCAAGAUCCGUCGAAAACGGCACUAGCGAUUAGAGUUCUGACGACGAAUUACUUGCGAUCUGCGUCUUCCAAGGGCACAACAAGGACAAUCGAUCAGAUUUGGAAGAAGCCAAGUCGGGGGAUAGUAAAGAUUAAUGUUGAUGCUUCGUUCCAAUAUGAAACACUCUUGGGUGCGAGUGGUGCAGUGGCCCGGGAUGAUCAAGGUGUUUUUAUAGCUGCAGCAAAUUGGUACAUUCCAGUAGUAACAGGGGUGGACAGCGCUGAACUAAUGGCUAUCAGGACUGGCCUUUACCUUGCAGCCAACAUCGGGUGUAACAUGAUUGAACUGGAGUCAGAUUGGUCAUUCGUGGUGGACUCGAUGAACCAAAUUUAUGAUUAUAUGGGGCCGGAUAUAGCUAUCAUCAUGGAGUGCAAGCAACUAAUGAUGGACUUCGCGUCAGUAUCUUUCAAGCACUGCUACAGAGAAGCUAACCAAGUGGCGGAUGAACUAGCAAAGAACUCUUUCAUGAAUAGAGUUUCUGGGUUUUGGGAUGUGAUCCCUGACUUUAUUUCCAAUCUCAUUGUAAACGACAUGUCUAUUGUUUGA
RNAcentral lists this ribosomal RNA (1236 nucleotides) under Triticum aestivum (bread wheat). RNAcentral's name for it is "partial small subunit ribosomal RNA". Lineage: Eukaryota; Viridiplantae; Streptophyta; Magnoliopsida; Poales; Poaceae. The record is from RNAcentral.